CCCCAGAUGUUGCUGAACUACAACUCCCAUGUUUCUCUGGCUAUCUGUUUAAUUGAAAGAAUCAUGGGAGUUGUAGUUCAGCAACAUCUGGGG
This 93-nucleotide microRNA precursor is filed under the name Pelobates cultripes (western spadefoot toad). The record is from RNAcentral. Lineage: Eukaryota; Metazoa; Chordata; Amphibia; Anura; Pelobatidae.